GCCGCGGUAGCUCAGCCUGGUUAGAGCACCACACUCAUAAUGUGGGGGUCGAGGGUUCAUAUCCCUCCCGCGGCA
RNAcentral lists this transfer RNA (75 nucleotides) under archaeon. RNAcentral describes it as "tRNA-Met". It matches the Rfam family "tRNA". Rfam says of the family: Transfer RNA (tRNA) molecules are approximately 80 nucleotides in length. Their secondary structure includes four short double-helical elements and three loops (D, anti-codon, and T loops). Further hydrogen bonds mediate the characteristic L-shaped molecular structure. tRNAs have two regions of fundamental functional importance: the anti-codon, which is responsible for specific mRNA codon recognition, and the 3' end, to which the tRNAs corresponding amino acid is attached (by aminoacyl-tRNA synthetases). tRNAs cope with the degeneracy of the genetic code in two manners: having more than one tRNA (with a specific anti-codon) for a particular amino acid; and 'wobble' base-pairing, i.e. permitting non-standard base-pairing at the 3rd anti-codon position. The record is from RNAcentral.